RNAcentral lists this ribosomal RNA (232 nucleotides) under uncultured Enterobacterales bacterium. RNAcentral describes it as "partial 16S ribosomal RNA". It matches the Rfam family "Bacterial small subunit ribosomal RNA", at positions 99 to 334 of the family's 1533-position model. The record is from RNAcentral. Lineage: Bacteria; Pseudomonadati; Pseudomonadota; Gammaproteobacteria; Enterobacterales.
CGGACGGGUGAGUAAUGUCUGGGAAACUGCCUGAUGGAGGGGGAUAACUACUGGAAACGGUAGCUAAUACAGCAUAACGUCGCAAGACCAAAGAGGGGGGCCUUCGGGCCUCUUGCCAUCGGAUGUGCCCAGAUGGGAUUAGCUAGUAGGUGGGGUAACGGCUCACCUAGGCGACGAUCCCUAGCUGGUCUGAGAGGAUGACCAGCCACACUGGAACUGAGACACGGUCCAG